AUGAGACAGUGGAGUCACGUCGGGAGCCUGUAUUUUUUGCUGCUUCCCUACUUCAGUGCUCCCUGCCUUGCCAGGAGCUCCUCCCUGCCACCUGCUCUGCUCCUCCCACCAGGUGAGCUUGGCUGCUCCUGCCACCUGGACACCUGCCUUGGGAGCAGUGAAGGGGCCGGCCCAGGCUUCCCCAUCCCUUGCCCUUCCCAUGGGCCUCUGCUCUGGCUGUGCCGGUCCAGGCCCACAGCCACUGAGACUCCCAACCUUGAGGCGCAGCUGGGCACUGGCCCGUCCCUGGCCGCCCACAGUGGACUGGGCUUGCAGGGGAGCGGCAGGGAGGGCUGGGUCCCAGCAGGCAGCACGAGGUCAGCCUUGGUGUGCACAGGCCCCAGGCCACCUCCAGAAAGGGAGAGGUGGCCAGGAAGAGCAAGUCCUUGGCCUCAGGGCCCACUUGGCCACACUCGGAGGUGUGAGGAGUGGCUCCUGGCUGGCUGGACUUCCUUCGUCCUCCCAUGGAACGCCCCUGAGUCCUGGAGCCACAUCAGCCCUUCCUGUCAGGAGUUGGUCCCGGGGCUACCGUUGGACGGCUUCCUCACCAGGCUGGGGGCACGGGCGGGACUGCCGGGCAUGAGGGAGGUGGGACGCAGGGGACACGACACGAGGGUGAUGGGGCCCAGUGGAGCCCCUGGGAUGAAAGCUGCCCGCACCCCCCAGCCCCGCCAGCCCCCCGGCACAGCUGGCCACAAAGAUCAAGUCUUGCUAGCAGCACCUCCCUGCUCAGGCCCCGGGCCUGCUCUGCCGCCGCUGGGCUCCACACUGCCUUGGGAGUUGGGGGCUGGGAAAGGAAGACUGGAUGGAAAACAGAGCCCCCCACGGGCCCCGCAAGGGAGGCCCCUUCCCCUCCAACUCCCCCACUGCCUGAGACGGAGGGGCGUGUUCCCACUGCGCUGCCAGCCAGGACGCGGUGGGGCCGUCCAGUCCCGGGGCCGCUCCUCGGCGCCCCUGCCGGCGUGCUCCCUCGGUGCGGGCGUGUGGCCAGGACGCGGGACUUGGACUUGGUUGGAUGCCUCUUGGUUUGGUUGUUUCUUGUUGUUGUUGUUGCUUGGAUCUUAA
This 1104-nucleotide long non-coding RNA is filed under the name Papio anubis (olive baboon). RNAcentral's name for it is "lncRNA (ENSPANG00000049985.1)". Lineage: Eukaryota; Metazoa; Chordata; Mammalia; Primates; Cercopithecidae. The record is from RNAcentral.